AGGCCGACGGUAGUUCCGAUUGUGGUAAAGUGAUAAUUUUUCAUUCCUGCUUUUGGUAAAAUUGGUCCAAAAUAUAGUCUUUCGAAAAAUGUUUGAGAUGUUCCCUUCAAUGAAUGUAGUAAACUGUAGUCAUGAAUCGACACGGCUAACAAUAUUGGUGAUUUAAACUUAUUGACUGAGUAGACCGUAUCACGUGAAACUCAGGUGUUUGUUUCUAUUGUCAUCUGCAGACCCUGAAGAAUACACACGCAUAAUAAGAACUUGGAUGAUUAUGAGGAAGAUGGAAAGCUUAGUUCAAUGUGAAGAUUUUUGUAUAGCUAUAUAAAACUAAGCUUUGUAUUUGGCUGAUUUAGUCAAAGCUGGUAUAUCUUCACCACAAAAACUUCCACCAGAACUUUACCCAGCCCAAGUCCGAGCAGAAAGUAUGUUUGGUACUGUACCAGGAACAGGAAGCUUUACUGGUACCGACCAUCCCACCAACUAGCUGCUUCAAAAAAGUCUGAUGCUUUUGGUGAUUUGUGAAGAGGAGUAGGAAUACCCUCAUCUGUAGUACCACAACCCAAUGAUCCAGCAGAUAAUGUGGUGGAGGACCUACUUCAACCAGAAAAGCUGAAUUCCCUUUGCAAACAAAACUGCUACUAAAGAUAGUGCUACCGGAUUGCUGAUGGAGAAGGAAUCAGAAGAUUAUGUCAAUCAUUGCAUUGAUGAUAGUGUGCUACCUCUAGAAACACUCAAUGCUCUGAAACGACUGAAAACUUGGAAAAGUUCAUGCAUGAUUGAGUGGGGAGAGAUUGUGCGGUCUUGCCAUGCUCCAUGUUCAUCGCGAUAAGGAUAUCAGCAGACCAAAUAUUCUGAAACCACAAUAGAAAACAUUGGCAAAGUCUACUGAAUCUAUGUUUGUUCUAUGUUCUUGCGACAGACUCAAAUCGAGAUUUGGAUGAUUAUCUUACAUAUAAAUUUAGAUAAAGUAUGAAAAAUUGAUAUAAAAAGUGUCCAAAUUUAAAAACAUUAUCAAACUCUCUGGAACUGCCUAGAAUGCAGGAUUUUGUACCAUUCAUUUCAUACCCUCAAAAAAACUAAUUUCGCCUUGCCUAGCUCGGCUCAAUUAUUUUGCCUCACUAAAUUAUGCCUAUUUACAGCCUUGUAUUUUGGAUAGUUUAAUUUAAUUUAAUUUAAGUCGAUGUUUUUUUAAUAGCAACCUUUGAAGAUAAAAGGAAAUUAAAUUUAACUAGGGCCAG
Molecule: long non-coding RNA, 1238 nt
Organism: Mytilus trossulus (common blue mussel)
Lineage: Eukaryota; Metazoa; Mollusca; Bivalvia; Mytilida; Mytilidae
Exons: 4
Source: RefSeq, a predicted model, not a curated record